RNAcentral lists this ribosomal RNA (482 nucleotides) under uncultured bacterium. RNAcentral describes it as "partial 16S ribosomal RNA". It matches the Rfam family "Bacterial small subunit ribosomal RNA", at positions 30 to 507 of the family's 1533-position model. The record is from RNAcentral.
AUUGAACGCUGGCGGCAUGCUUUACACAUGCAAGUCGAACGGUAACAGGCCGCAAGGUGCUGACGAGUGGCGCACGGGUGAGUAAUGCAUCGGAACGUGCCCAGUCGUGGGGGAUAACUACUCGAAAGAGUAGCUAAUACCGCAUACGAUCUAUGGAUGAAAGCGGGGGACCGUAAGACCUCGCGCGAUUGGAGCGGCCGAUGUCAGAUUAGGUAGUUGGUGGGGUAAAGGCUCACCAAGCCAACGAUCUGUAGCUGGUCUGAGAGGACGACCAGCCACACUGGGACUGAGACACGGCCCAGACUCCUACGGGAGGCAGCAGUGGGGAAUUUUGGACAAUGGGCGCAAGCCUGAUCCAGCAAUGCCGCGUGCAGGAAGAAGGCCUUCGGGUUGUAAACUGCUUUUGUACGGAACGAAACGGCUCUGGUUAAUACCCGGGGCUAAUGACGGUACCGUAAGAAUAAGCACCGGCUAACUACGUG